GAGUUUGAUCCUGGCUCAGGAUGAACGCUGGCGGCGUGCUUAACACAUGCAAGUCGAACGAACCUUCGGGUUAGUGGCGGACGGGUGAGUAACGCGUGAGAAUCUGCCCUCAGGAGGGGGACAACAGCUGGAAACGGCUGCUAAUACCCCAUAUGCCGAGAGGUGAAACGAAUUUCGCCUGAGGAUGAGCUCGCGUCUGAUUAGCUAGUUGGUGUGGUAAAGGCGCACCAAGGCAUCGAUCAGUAGCUGGUCUGAGAGGAUGAUCAGCCACACUGGGACUGAGACACGGCCCAGACUCCUACGGGAGGCAGCAGUGGGGAAUUUUCCGCAAUGGGCGAAAGCCUGACGGAGCAACGCCGCGUGAGGGAUGAAGGCCUCUGGGCUGUAAACCUCUUUUCUCAAGGAAGAAGAUCUGACGGUACUUGAGGAAUAAGCCACGGCUAAUUCCGUGCCAGCAGCCGCGGUAAUACGGGAGUGGCAAGCGUUAUCCGGAAUUAUUGGGCGUAAAGCGUCCGCAGGCGGUCCAGAAAGUCUGCUGUUAAAAAGUGGAGCUUAACUCCAUCAUGGCAGUGGAAACUACUGGACUAGAGUGUGGUAGGGGCAGAGGGAAUUCCCGGUGUAGCGGUGAAAUGCGUAGAUAUCGGGAAGAACACCAGUGGCGAAGGCGCUCUGCUGGGCCAUAACUGACGCUCAUGGACGAAAGCCAGGGGAGCGAAAGGGAUUAGAUACCCCUGUAGUCCUGGCCGUAAACGAUGAACACUAGGUGUCGGGGGAAUCGACCCCCUCGGUGUCGUAGCCAACGCGUUAAGUGUUCCGCCUGGGGAGUACGCACGCAAGUGUGAAACUCAAAGGAAUUGACGGGGGCCCGCACAAGCGGUGGAGUAUGUGGUUUAAUUCGAUGCAACGCGAAGAACCUUACCAGGUUUGACAUCCUGCGAAUCUCCUGGAAA
This 950-nucleotide ribosomal RNA is filed under the name uncultured bacterium. Its description in RNAcentral is "bacterial SSU rRNA". It matches the Rfam family "Bacterial small subunit ribosomal RNA", at positions 9 to 1006 of the family's 1533-position model. The record is from RNAcentral.